Molecule: long non-coding RNA, 525 nt
Organism: Clarias gariepinus (North African catfish)
Lineage: Eukaryota; Metazoa; Chordata; Actinopteri; Siluriformes; Clariidae
Exons: 3
Source: RefSeq, a predicted model, not a curated record
GGCUGUAAGUACGGUUCAUCAUGAUUCACCGCGAGUUUUUUGGCGCUGUGAGUACGUUUCCAUCUUUCCGCGUUAAAACAUGUUGAAUUCUUUUUGACGGUCCUCGCGGAAGCUUGCGGAUCUUACAGAACUUCGUGGAACGUCGGCAGGCAAUCACGACGACUCACGGUGCCUAACUCCGCAUCUCACCGUGAGUCAAACCGCAUAGGGCUGUUUUGAGUUUACUGAAUCGUACAUGUUCAGGAAGACUGCAACAAAUGGAGACUCCACAAACUUGGAUGAGUUCACGGCGUCAGUGACUAACUACAUCAGAGCCUGGCUUGUGGAAAGUAGUGUCAAUUCAAUUCAAUGUAAUUCAUCGGACGUGGAAGUUAUCUGUUGAUUUACAAGGAUUAAAGGCAUCCCCUGAAUGUUAACAGAAGUGACAGUGGGUCCAAGUCACGUCAACCAGGAUCGCCUUUCAUUUACAUGCAGCCUUCUUUAAUAUGUUUGCACCAUUCACAUGUUUUUUUUUUUUUUGUUUUU